AGCAAGGCGUCUGCGUGAUGUGCAGGAUGGAAGCGCACGUGAACAGCGUCUUGCGUUCCUCAGGCAGUGCCAUCGAGCCCUGGGGUGUCGUCAGCGUUCUGACAUGCAUAGGAGAACAUUUCCAGCUGGGCGUGCAGGAAGACGCCCACGAGUUCCUCCGCCUUGCUGUCGAUGCCAUGCAGAGCGCUUGCCUGAGCGGAAGCAGCGACUUGGACACCUCUUCCCAAUCGACUACCGUCGUCCAUCAAAUCUUUGGGGGCUGUCUGAGAUCCAGAGGUACUGCUCCCCACCUGUUGUUCCCCUUGGGACUGGCUGUGCCCUUCUGCCUGCUGCCUGUGAUAAACAGCU
This is a non-coding RNA of Phalacrocorax carbo (great cormorant), 348 nucleotides long. The record is from RefSeq and is a predicted model, not a curated record. NCBI's taxonomy places the organism in Eukaryota, Metazoa, Chordata, Aves, Suliformes, Phalacrocoracidae.